UAGGCCUAACACAUGCAAGUCGAACGGAAACGAUGGGAGCUUGCUCCCAGGCGUCGAGUGGCGGACGGGUGAGUAAUACUUAGGAAUCUGCCCAGUAGUGGGGGACAACUCGGGGAAACUCGAGCUAAUACCGCAUACGCACUACGGUGGAAAGUGGGGGAUCUUCGGACCUCACGCUAUUGGAUGAGCCUAAGUCGGAUUAGCUUGUUGGUGGGGUAACGGCCUACCAAGGCGACGAUCCGUAGCUGGUCUGAGAGGACGAUCAGCCACACUGGGACUGAGACACGGCCCAGACUCCUACGGGAGGCAGCAGUGGGGAAUAUUGGACAAUGGGCGCAAGCCUGAUCCAGCAAUGCCGCGUGUGUGAAGAAGGCCUGCGGGUUGUAAAGCACUUUCAGUAGAGAAGAAAAGCCUAGGGUUAAUACCCCUGAGUCUUGACGUUACCUACAGAAGAAGCACCGGCUAACUCCGUGCCAGCAGCCGCGGUAAUACGGAGGGUGCGAGCGUUAAUCGGAAUUACUGGGCGUAAAGCGCGCGUAGGCGGCUUGGUCAGUCGGAUGUGAAAGCCCCGGGCUUAACCUGGGAAUUGCAUUCGAUACUGCCGAGCUAGAGUAUGGUAGAGGGAAGUGGGAUUUCCGGUGUAGCGGUGAAAUGCGUAG
This 659-nucleotide ribosomal RNA is filed under the name uncultured bacterium. RNAcentral's name for it is "bacterial SSU rRNA". It matches the Rfam family "Bacterial small subunit ribosomal RNA", at positions 43 to 693 of the family's 1533-position model. The record is from RNAcentral.